RNAcentral lists this transfer RNA (77 nucleotides) under Nodosilinea foveolarum. RNAcentral describes it as "tRNA-Thr". It matches the Rfam family "tRNA". Rfam says of the family: Transfer RNA (tRNA) molecules are approximately 80 nucleotides in length. Their secondary structure includes four short double-helical elements and three loops (D, anti-codon, and T loops). The record is from RNAcentral. Lineage: Bacteria; Bacillati; Cyanobacteriota; Cyanophyceae; Nodosilineales; Nodosilineaceae.
GCUGGUGUAGCUCAAUCUGGCAGAGUAGUCGUCUUGUAAACGACAGGUUGCAGGUUCGAUGCCUGUCACCAGCCCCG